ACGGCGAGUGAGCGGGACUAGCUCAGGAUGUAAAUCUGCGCUGUAUGGCGCCGAAUUGUGGUCUGUAGACUUUGACGUUAUCUGCCGGGCCAAGUUCCUUGGAAAAGGACAGCUGAGAGGGUGAGACUCCCGUCCGCCUGGUAGAAUGAGUCAUGUGUCAACGAGUCGAGUUGUUUGGGAUUGCAGCUCUAAUUUGGUGGUAAAUUCCAUCUAAAGCUAAAUAUUGGUGGGAGACCGAUAGCGUACAAGUACCGUGAGGGAAAGAUGCAAAGAACUUUGAAAAGAGAGUUAAAGAGUACCUGAAAUUGCUGAAACGGAAGCGAAGGAAACCAGUGUUUGUUGGUUCAUAUUUCCCUGUCCACUUGUGGACUGGGCGCUGUGAGCUAGCGUGGGUUUGCUUUGGUUGAUCCCUUUGGAAGAGCGCAGUCAGAGUUGAUGUCUGUUGCUAGC
This 450-nucleotide ribosomal RNA is filed under the name Pseudo-nitzschia cuspidata. Its description in RNAcentral is "eukaryotic LSU rRNA". It matches the Rfam family "Eukaryotic large subunit ribosomal RNA", at positions 86 to 553 of the family's 3401-position model. The record is from RNAcentral. Lineage: Eukaryota; Bacillariophyta; Bacillariophyceae; Bacillariales; Bacillariaceae.